This 28-nucleotide non-coding RNA is filed under the name Bombyx mori (domestic silkworm). Lineage: Eukaryota; Metazoa; Arthropoda; Insecta; Lepidoptera; Bombycidae. The record is from RNAcentral.
UGCAAACCAUGUUGGCUGGUACAUCAUC